CAUAAUCCAGUAUAGGAGUGCUCCCGGGAGCCCAUCUCUCAUCUCUGAAAGAGAUAACUUUGUGGGUUUAGACUUAUCAGACUUUCCCAGGAGAGCCCAGCCAAAUGCAGCUGGUAACCUGAUGAGUUUGGAAUUGCUCUUGGCCUCCAUCUCCUUGUAUAUGCUUCCUUCUGGGACUACUGUGGUUUUUCAGCUUAUCAGUGGUCGAGUUGGCUUCCUUCUGGAUUCUCUCUUCAGCUUAGACACACCAAGGAUCAUCACAGACUCAGUUUCCCACAAAACCAGAACCAUGGGGCCAGCGGAAAAGUUUUCUUCCAACUUGCAACAAGCUGCCAGAGGAGGGAAGAAAGGUCCUGAAGUCGCUCUAGAGUUGGAGGUUGACAAGCAGGAGGCUGGGUACUAUGUGCUACAGGGAAACAUGAAGAGGUAUAUGGUCAAGCCCUCGUCUCACAAUAAACUUGGGUUUAAAACAAAUAAUUGGAAGAAGGCUCAAUGCUCAACUGGUCAUCUGAACAAUGGAUGGGAUUUGAUCUUUGGGGCAGAGACGUGUGGACAAGCAGUACUGGGCAGAGGUCAAUUGUAUGCCACUGGGGUUGGCUGAAUGGACUUGGGCCUGAAUCCCGGUGCCACUGAGAAGCCAUGUGACCUUGGGCGACCUUCUCUGGUUUCAAUUCUCAGCGAAGGGCAGGAUGAGAUUGCAGGAUCUCAUUUUUCUUUGUAUCAGUGAAACUAUGAGCUUCCAGCAUUAGCAAAAGCC
This is a long non-coding RNA of Heterocephalus glaber (naked mole-rat), 757 nucleotides long. NCBI's taxonomy places the organism in Eukaryota, Metazoa, Chordata, Mammalia, Rodentia, Bathyergidae. The record is from Ensembl.